Choloepus didactylus (southern two-toed sloth) is the source of this 456-nucleotide long non-coding RNA. RefSeq lists it as uncharacterized. The record is from RefSeq and is a predicted model, not a curated record. NCBI's taxonomy places the organism in Eukaryota, Metazoa, Chordata, Mammalia, Pilosa, Megalonychidae. The transcript is spliced from 2 exons.
UAACUGUACAAAUAUUAGAAAUCUCUUUCAUGAAGUAGAACAAAUGUAUGACACUAUAACUAGAAGUUAAUAAUAAAGGGGCAUAUAGGGAAAAAUAUACAUAUUGCAAACUAUGUACUACAGUUGGUAGCAUUUUAAUAUACUUUCACCAAGAGUAAGAAACAUACUGUACAAAUACCAUGAGUCAGUAACGAAGGGGUGGAUUUAGGGGUAUGAGAGGGUUUGAGUUUUCUUUAUUGUUUUUUAUUUCUUUUCCAGAAUAAUGGAUGCACAGCGGGUAUGAUGGUACUGUGGGCAGUUGUGCACAUUGGAUGAUGAUAUGGUGUAAUGAACAUGUACACAAACUGAUUGUGGUGACGAAUGCACAACUAUAUGAUGAUACCAUGAACCACUGAUUGUAUACUUUGGCUGAUUAUCUGCUAUGUGAACAUAUCUCAAUAAAAUUGGAUUAAUAAA